Long non-coding RNA from Lethenteron reissneri (Far Eastern brook lamprey), 1228 nucleotides. RefSeq lists it as uncharacterized. The record is from RefSeq and is a predicted model, not a curated record. NCBI's taxonomy places the organism in Eukaryota, Metazoa, Chordata, Hyperoartia, Petromyzontiformes, Petromyzontidae.
GGAGUGUCUUGCACCCAGCGAGUGACGUCACGAGGUAGCAGGAAGUUGCCGCUCCGCGCGUGAACUGCAAUCCGAGGCCACGCCCGCUUGAGCUGCUGUACCACUCUUGUUUUCAGAAGCGACCUGCCCACAACAACAACAACAAGUUGCAGAUCAGCUGGAGAGGAGUGUCUUGCACCCAGCGAGUGACGUCACGAGGUAGCAGGAAGUUGCCGCUCCGCGCGUGAACUGCAAUCCGAGGCCACGCCCGCUUGAGCUGCUGUACCACUCUUGUUUUCAGAAGAGACCUGCCCACAACAACAACAACAAGAUGGAGCUCAUUGAGGGCUACAUUGCCGCACAGUUCAGCGCGCGAUUGCCACGGUUCAGCAUGGCCACCUUCAUCCAGUCCCCACCAUGAUUGCUGCUGCUGCUUCACAGCCACCAGCGGCAUCGUCUCCAACAUCAUCAGCAGCACCAGGAGCAUCACCGGCGUCAGCACUAAUACCAUCACAAUCAUUAUCAGCAUCAUCUGCAUUAUCAGCAGCAGCAUCAUCACCAGCAGCAUCAUUAACACCACCAUCAGGGUAAUGUUUUGAAUUAUUUAAACUAUGUUUAUUUUACCAGGUAAGGCCCACUGAGCUACGUAGCUAAUUUGUAAAAAUCAGCAGCCAACUCCUCUAUGAACGCGCGAUGUUGAUUCUAAAUGUGGAGGGGAAAACCCCGGAGGACCCGGAGAAAGAUCUUGGUGACCACGGGGGGAGAGAGACGCCGACUCCAAAUGUACAGCAGGCGAGAUCACACACACACAGCGGCAGCAGUCAUCACCCCCCUGCCUACUGGCAGCAGACUGAUGCACAGGGACGGCUGCCACUGGGGGUGCCCCUCGGCUAGACCACACAACCGCAAUCAAUGCUCCCUACUGGCAGCAGACUUCUCUUUUUCAGUGAGGCUGCUGAUGUAGGUGCAGAGACAACGACUACGAUGUCACAUCAUCAUCGCUGUGAUGUCUCUUGGUAUAUGAGUCUGUAGCUCUCAACGGGUCUCUAUGAUUUAAAGCUUUCGUGACUGCAGGGAUUCAUCUUCUUGGUUCUUUCGGUAAAGUCACGUAGAAGGGAAGUAAUAAAAUAAUAAAAAUAAAACAUAAUAAAAUAAUUCUCACGACGUUUCGGCCACAACGCAAGCAGCCGUCCUCAGGUGAAACCAGGUCUGUCGAGGCGACAGCGUCUGAAUGAAACAGCACACGUGC